RNAcentral lists this non-coding RNA (85 nucleotides) under Prorocentrum minimum. The record is from RNAcentral. Lineage: Eukaryota; Dinophyceae; Prorocentrales; Prorocentraceae.
GUACAGAGUGAGCACGUGCCAAUGGCCUGCUCACAGCUUCUGGCGUUCACCCUGGUGUGUUUCGUCAGUGUCUGCCAGGGUGUCA